CGGCCAGACUCCUACGGGAGGCAGCAGUGGGGGAUAUUGCACAAUGGGGGAAACCCUGAUGCAGCGACGCCGCGUGGGCGAAGAAGUAUUUCGGUAUGUAAAGCCCUAUCAGCAGGGAAGAAGAAAUGACGGUACCUGAGUAAGAAGCACCGGCUAAAUACGUGCCAGCAGCCGCGGUAAUACGUAUGGUGCAAGCGUUAUCCGGAUUUACUGGGUGUAAAGGGAGCGCAGGCGGCACGGCAAGCCUGAUGUGAAAGCCCGCGGCCCAACCGCGGGACUGCAUUGGGAACUACCGGGCUGGAGUGCCGGAGAGGUAGGCGGAAUUCCUGGUGUAGCGGUGAAAUGCGUAGAUAUCAGGAGGAACACCGGCGGCGAAGGCGGCCUGCUGGACCGCGACUGACGUUGAGGCUCGAAAGCGUGGGGAGCAAACAGGAUUAGAUACCCGCGUAA
Molecule: ribosomal RNA, 450 nt
Filed under: uncultured bacterium
Lineage: Bacteria
Description: bacterial SSU rRNA
Rfam family: Bacterial small subunit ribosomal RNA
Source: RNAcentral